UGGCGGCGUGCUUAACACAUGCAAGUCGAACGGAAAGGCCCUUCGGGGUACUCGAGUGGCGAACGGGUGAGUAACACGUGGGUGAUCUGCCCUGCACUCUGGGAUAAGCCUGGGAAACUGGGUCUAAUACCGGAUAGGACCACACACUUCAUGGUGAGUGGUGCAAAGCUUUUGCGGUGUGGGAUGAGCCCGCGGCCUAUCAGCUUGUUGGUGGGGUAAUGGCCCACCAAGGCGACGACGGGUAGCCGGCCUGAGAGGGUGACCGGCCACACUGGGACUGAGAUACGGCCCAGACUCCUACGGGAGGCAGCAGUGGGGAAUAUUGCACAAUGGGCGCAAGCCUGAUGCAGCGACGCCGCGUGAGGGAUGACGGCCUUCGGGUUGUAAACCUCUUUCAGUAGGGACGAAGCGAAAGUGACGGUACCUACAGAAGAAGGACCGGCCAACUACGUGCCAGCAGCCGCGGUAAUACGUAGGGUCCGAGCGUUGUCCGGAAUUACUGGGCGUAAAGAGCUCGUAGGUGGUUUGUCGCGUUGUUCGUGAAAACUCACAGCUUAACUGUGGGCGUGCGGGCGAUACGGGCAGACUAGAGUACUGCAGGGGAGACUGGAAUUCCUGGUGUAGCGGUGGAAUGCGCAGAUAUCAGGAGGAACACCGGUGGCGAAGGCGGGUCUCUGGGCAGUAACUGACGCUGAGGAGCGAAAGCGUGGGUAGCGAACAGGAUUAGAUACCCUGGUAGUCCACGCCGUAAACGGUGGGUACUAGGUGUGGGUUUCCUUCCUUGGGAUCCGUGGCGUAGCUAACGCAUUAAGUAC
This 815-nucleotide ribosomal RNA is filed under the name Mycobacterium sp. MG7. RNAcentral's name for it is "bacterial SSU rRNA". It matches the Rfam family "Bacterial small subunit ribosomal RNA", at positions 37 to 867 of the family's 1533-position model. The record is from RNAcentral. Lineage: Bacteria; Bacillati; Actinomycetota; Actinomycetes; Mycobacteriales; Mycobacteriaceae.